RNAcentral lists this unclassified non-coding RNA (1350 nucleotides) under Hevea brasiliensis (rubber tree). The record is from RNAcentral. Lineage: Eukaryota; Viridiplantae; Streptophyta; Magnoliopsida; Malpighiales; Euphorbiaceae.
UUUUUUGAAUCAUUUAAUUAUUUAUUAUUGAAUUGAGAAAAUUGUACUAAUCGAUUAUAAAAGUAAAAAAAAAAGACAUCUACAGCAUUUGCCAUGCGAUCAAAGUAGCCUUCCUUGGCUCUUCUCUCAGCCAAACCAUUGCUAAUUCUUUCAAGCCUCCAAUAGAAACAAAUUAUAGAACAGCAAAUACGUAAUCAACCAUCUACAGCUCCGCAAAAAAAUUACUCGCACUGCUGUUGGAUUGCCCUUUUUUCUUCUUGCUCCCUUUUUUAGAACUUGGAGGAUUAAUAUCAACAUCCAUCUCAUCACUAUCACUGUCAGUCACAUCAUCUUGAUCCUUUUGAGUAUCUCCAGAAUUUUGCAGUAAAUCAUCCAAAUCCCAAAGCUUCAACAUUUGAUCAUGUGAUAUGCUGCCGAGAAAUUUUCUGUCGUGAGAAAAAGCAAGGCGCUCAAUGGGAUACUCUGAAUGCUCCGCAAGUGGUUGGAUGAUUCUGUUGGGUAAUAUGCCUACCAGACUGAUGAGUCCAUUCUCAGAUCCAGUAACGACCCUAUCUUCAUCAAGCUUCAACAAAGCAUCAACAGAGUUUGGCGAGAGACCAACAAAGCGAUCACUGCAAUCCUUGAAAAACCCCCAUGAAUACAAUAAUAGUGUUCCAUUUUGUGAUCCACAAAUAACCUUCCGACCAUUCUUCAUAAUCACAACAGACAGCAACUCUUCUUCAGAAAACUCAGACCGUGUUUGGACCUUAUUGCUUCGAAGGUUGCAAACUGAAAGAGUCCCAUCACCACUCGUCCCUAGGAGUUUCAUGGAAUCAGAGGCAAAAGUCAUAUCUGAAACAUAGUCUUCAUGGGCAUUAAAAGAAUUACAACAAGACCGUUGCCUGGUAUCCCACACCUUAAUACAUCCUUGAUCAUCCCCAGUUGCAAUGGUCGACUCAUUGAGGUUGAUCAAACUAAAAAUGGCAUCCUCAUGAGCGUUUUCAACACGAGCAAUCGGCGAUCCAGUUUCUACAUCCGUUGCUAGAAUUGAGCGAUCACUUGAAGCAGUCAAAAUUGCCUGUCCACCGUUUAUGAACCGAACGGCUCUACAGGAGUCAUCAUGCGCUUGCACCUCCAAUAACCUCUUUUGUGACGAGAAAUCAGCAGUAUACCGAUAUAGGUGAAGAUGGCCAGUGAUGAGAGCAGCAGCCACCAUAUGAUCCUGAGGAUGGAAAUCCAUGCCAAAGGGAAUUUUCCCUAAAUCUAUCUCCAUCUCGCUUGCCUCGUCUUCUCUUCUGUUGUGUAUUUUCUUUUGUGUUACGUAUUCUGCUACCAAAGCUCCAAAACCCUUCUUCAAUGGCGACUGGCUAA